RNAcentral lists this ribosomal RNA (261 nucleotides) under uncultured bacterium. Its description in RNAcentral is "partial 16S ribosomal RNA". It matches the Rfam family "Bacterial small subunit ribosomal RNA", at positions 29 to 292 of the family's 1533-position model. The record is from RNAcentral.
AAUGAACGCUGGCGGCGUGCUUAAGACAUGCAAGUCGAACGGAGUGUGUAGCAAUACUCACUAAGUGGCGAAUGGGUGAGUAACACGUAGGUGACCUGCCCUGAAGUGCGGAAUAACAGUCCGAAAGGAUUGCUAAUACCGCAUGUGGUCCCGGGCGUUAGAGAACCGGGUCUAAAGCAGUAAUGCGCUUCAGGAGGGGCCUGCGGUCCAUCAGCUAGUUGGUAGGGAAUGGCCUACCAAGGCAACGACGGAUAGGGGACC